CUCAAGCCAAUCAGUAAUCUGUUGCUGACCCAUCUACUAACAGCCUCCACUACUUUCUCAACAAAGCUGCAAUGUAAAUAUGACUCACAUCGAGAUUCAGUAACUUGUUUUUUAGAAGUGCAGCAGUUCUUUCAUAAUCAUUGGUUUUAAAAUGGUCCUUUUCCCAAAUCAGUUCAUAAUCAAAAAUACAGUAAAAUAAAAAGAUAUGGGUUUUAUGAUGUGAAUGGGAGUUGGAGAGAUUUAGUGUAAGGAAAUUGCACCCCUUAUUCAUUCACAGGAUGUAUACCAGCACCAAGGACUGUGAGGUGCUUGUGCCUGGCUUCCAGUGAUCCCGCAAACUGCAAUGGAAGGCAUACUAUGAUCUCCAGGACGAACAAAGAGAGGAUUACAGGUUGAGUUCAUAAGGAAUUCCCUGGGCCGUCUCAAAUCUGUACUUUAUCACACCGACAAUGUCUCUGACACCACCAUCACCAUCCCUGGAUAUGUCCGGUCCCACCGGCAAGACAGACUCAGCAAAGAUGGUGGCACAAUUGUUUACAGUCAGAAAGGAGCUGGCCUAGGAGCUGUUAACAUAGACUCUGGACGCAAUGAAGUCUCAUGGCAUCAGAUCAA
Non-coding RNA from Chiloscyllium plagiosum (whitespotted bambooshark), 612 nucleotides. The record is from RefSeq and is a predicted model, not a curated record. NCBI's taxonomy places the organism in Eukaryota, Metazoa, Chordata, Chondrichthyes, Orectolobiformes, Hemiscylliidae.